CAGCAUACACAGGUUUUUAAUACACAACUUCUUAAUGGGAUACUCCUAAGUGGGAGGAGUUAAAACUGCACCCAGAUUAAUGUAUCAAGAAACAAAGGACAAAGGAAGCCAAAUGCAACAAGUGGUCACUAAUUAACAAGACAUGUAUAUUUGUAUUGGAACUGAUGUAAUUAGACCUCCUGCUAAGAACAUGUGAUAAACUUCACAUCUAACUGAUUGACAUAUGAUAAUAAAUCUGUUUCAUCUCA
This 248-nucleotide long non-coding RNA is filed under the name Mytilus galloprovincialis (Mediterranean mussel). Lineage: Eukaryota; Metazoa; Mollusca; Bivalvia; Mytilida; Mytilidae. The record is from RNAcentral.